UACGUAGGGUGCGAGCGUUAAUCGGAAUUACUGGGCGUAAAGCGUGCGCAGGCGGUUCGCCAAGUCAGGUGUGAAAUCCCCGGGCUUAACCUGGGAAUUGCGCUUGAAACUAGCGGGCUUGAGUGUGGCAGAGGGGGGUGGAAUUCCACGUGUAGCAGUGAAAUGCGUAGAGAUGUGGAGGAACACCGAUGGCGAAGGCAGCCCCCUGGUUGGAUACUGACGCUGAGACGCGAAAGCGUGGGGAGCAAACAGG
RNAcentral lists this ribosomal RNA (253 nucleotides) under uncultured bacterium. RNAcentral's name for it is "partial 16S ribosomal RNA". It matches the Rfam family "Bacterial small subunit ribosomal RNA", at positions 524 to 776 of the family's 1533-position model. The record is from RNAcentral.